UUACAUUAUAUAUAUUGCCAUUAUAUUCUCUUAUUGUCAUUUAUACAAAACUAAAGCUAUGUAUGUUAUUGUAUAUCUAUUACAACUGUAUUUUAUAUUAUAAGGCUUGCGUUGAUGUUUCUAUAUUAGGCAUUGUUGUUCAGUUUGAAAAAAAAUUAUUUAAAAUUAUCUAAUUUUAUCGUACCUACUCGUAUAAUUGAUUUCUAUCCAAAACCUGUCUGUGAAAAACUGAAUUCGACGUUGAUAUCAGAUAAUAAUAUGACCUCAGCCAUCCAUCGGUUUUGGGUUUAGGAUGGAAAGAGGUACGGCAUAGUAUCUUUUAAAAUAGGUCAAUGUAUCUACUAUUACACGUGAACAUGUGAAUCACAGUGAAAGCAGUCUCUGCCAAGUUUAUGGAAAACUUAUUAACAAGACAGGCCUACGUCCACAACUGAAGCUUUAUCAAUAUAAUUGUGUUAUGAACACUGAGCGAUAUCAAAUAUUGAAAAAGAUGUCUAUUAGAUUAUUUAAUGUAAAUUUAAUAUUAAAUGUUUUUGACUAAAUGUGUGUAUUAUCUACCUAACUAGUAAAUAAGAUAGAAUACAUUUUUCAUUAUUAUUUCGCACUUGUUAAAAUAAAUGCUCGAGGCAUAUUGGCACAAAAAGUGCAGUAACGGGUUUUUUGUUCUACUUCAAUUCCACUCAUAAUCCUCAAGUACCUAGUAAAAAUUUCCUCGUUUGCGCGUUUCUAUAUUAUCUAAGUAGGUACUUCGUUGUCGUCUCUUUUACAUUUUCACAAGCACUUGCAGUUAGGCACAUAAGCAAUGUGUAUUGGAGAUAAAGCUUGUACCUAGUAUAAUAUUGUAGUCUUUGUUUGGAACGUUUUAGAAAAGACACGUCACUGCACUCCGACUCUGUUGCAAUGUGCCUUGAUCCUAAGAAAUAUAUUUACCAAAGUUUGGAAUGCUUACAUUGAUAAGUAUUGUGAUUUAAAGAUUUGUUUUAAGUGUAUUUUACUUAGGUAACU
Molecule: long non-coding RNA, 1005 nt
Organism: Maniola jurtina (meadow brown)
Lineage: Eukaryota; Metazoa; Arthropoda; Insecta; Lepidoptera; Nymphalidae
Exons: 3
Source: RefSeq, a predicted model, not a curated record